RNAcentral lists this ribosomal RNA (308 nucleotides) under uncultured bacterium. RNAcentral's name for it is "partial 16S ribosomal RNA". It matches the Rfam family "Bacterial small subunit ribosomal RNA", at positions 505 to 807 of the family's 1533-position model. The record is from RNAcentral.
GAGACAGCAGCCGCCGCGGGAAUACGGAGGGUGCAAGCGUUAAUCGGAAUUACUGGGCGUAAAGCGCACGCAGGCGGUCUGACAAGUCAGAUGUGAAAUCCCCGGGCUUAACCUGGGAACUGCAUUUGAAACUGUCAGGCUGGAGUCUUGUAGAGGGGGGUAGAAUUCCAGGUGUAGCGGUGAAAUGCGUAGAGAUCUGGAGGAAUACCGGUGGCGAAGGCGGCCCCCUGGACAAAGACUGACGCUCAGGUGCGAAAGCGUGGGGAGCAAACAGGAUUAGAUACCCGCGUAGUCCCUGUCUCUUAUAC